ACUAAACGAGACUCGCUUUUCCCUUCAACUGUUUCUUUCACUGAUUCUCUCUAUUCUCGAUUCUCGUUGUGCUGAGCUUGCUGUCCAUUGAAGUAAUAAACAGGCUGCUUGAGCUGGAACUGAGGUUGCCCUUCAUAAACUGAGAAUCAAAUGGAAACUGGAUUCGAUUUAUUCACUGGAUUGCUGGAGAGCUCUGUUGUGGAGCAUCUCAUUUCUCUUUUUCUCUGACUCUUUAUAAUCUCAAUGCUAUUCUCUUUUUACAGAAUUGAUCAGCAUGCAUCUGGUGAACUUAUAAAACGAGACGAGAAUCAAAUGGAAACUCGAUUGGCUUUAUUUACUUCUUAGUCUGGAGCUGAGUCCAGGACCCGGUCUUGUAGUACCCCAUAAGAGACACCUCUUUCUCUUUGCCUGUUAUCUCAACUCUGUUCUCUGGAUUGCAUUUAUUCACUGGAUUGCUAGCUUAAAUAUUUUCUUUCGACACAUUCAAUUUGACUGGGACAAGUAGCAGAGCGUCUGCUUAAGCACUUGCAGUAGAGUCUAUAAUUUGGGCAUGAAUUAAUUUGCCAUGUGGAGCGAGAGGGGAUCAUCAACUAAUGAAAUGGGAACUGUGAAAGCAAACAAGCUGCUAAUCAACCAGGAAAACACCAAAGCUCGAGUGCAAAGCAUCUUCAACGUGAAUCGAGACGGCAGCUGGAUGAAGGUAUUCCCAAUUAGACAUAAAUAAUAUGUGAGGAGUUUUGUCUAUUUCAUUAUAGUUGGCAUAAGCUUAUAUUAAUAUCAAGGUAUUGCUCAGGUAAGAGAGGAGGAGCCAUGGAUGGGUAGAGAAUAGAGCAUAGAGCAUAGUGAAUAGGUAAGGUUGAGUGGCUCAUCAGGAAUUCUGUGACAUGCGA
Long non-coding RNA from Drosophila mojavensis, 890 nucleotides. RefSeq lists it as uncharacterized. The transcript has 3 exons. NCBI's taxonomy places the organism in Eukaryota, Metazoa, Arthropoda, Insecta, Diptera, Drosophilidae. The record is from RefSeq and is a predicted model, not a curated record.